RNAcentral lists this ribosomal RNA (189 nucleotides) under Gymnostellatospora sp. SL0219. RNAcentral describes it as "5.8S ribosomal RNA". The stretch from base 1 to 134 matches the Rfam family "5.8S ribosomal RNA", at positions 21 to 154 of the family's 154-position model. Rfam says of the family: 5.8S ribosomal RNA (5.8S rRNA) is a component of the large subunit of the eukaryotic ribosome. It is transcribed by RNA polymerase I as part of the 45S precursor that also contains 18S and 28S rRNA. Lineage: Eukaryota; Fungi; Ascomycota; Leotiomycetes; Thelebolales; Pseudeurotiaceae. The record is from RNAcentral.
UUGGUUCUGGCAUCGAUGAAGAACGCAGCGAAAUGCGAUAAGUAAUGUGAAUUGCAGAAUUCAGUGAAUCAUCGAAUCUUUGAACGCACAUUGCGCUCCCUGGUAUUCCGGGGAGCAUGCCUGUUCGAGCGUCAUUACAACCCUCAAGCUCUGCUUGGUGUUGGGCCCCGCCGCCCCGGCGGGCCCUAA